AGUCUGACCUACCCUUUCAUAUACUAUAUUGAACGGCCGCGAUAAUUUGAUCGUACAAAGGUAGCAUAAUCAUUAGUCUUUUAAUUGAGAACUGGAAUGAAAGGUCGAACGAGAAAAAGACUGUCUCAAUUUAAUUUAAUUAGAAUUUUAUUUUUAAGUAAGAAAGCUUUAGUUUUUUUAAAAGACGAGACGACCCUAUGGAGUUUUAUAAUUAUAGAUUUAUUUUUUAGUUUAAGAAUUUUAUUUUAAAAUUAGUUAAUAAUUAUUUGAUUGGGGCGAUUGAAAAAUAUAAUAAACUUUUUUUAUAUAAGUACAUUUAUAUAUGAUUAAUUGAUCCAUAAUUUAUGAUUGAACGAUUAAAUUACCUUAGGGAUAACAGCGUAAUUUUUUUUGAGAGUUCUUAUAGAAAAAAAAGUUUGCGACCUCGAUGUUGGUGUAAAAUAAACUUAAAAUAAACUUAAAAUAAACUUUUGGUGUAAAAGCUAAAAUACUUAGGCCUGUUCGACCUUUAAAAUUUUACAUGAUCUGAGUAUAAACCGGUGUAAGCCAGGUUGGUUUCUAUCUUCAA
Molecule: ribosomal RNA, 568 nt
Filed under: Onthophagus mjobergi
Lineage: Eukaryota; Metazoa; Arthropoda; Insecta; Coleoptera; Scarabaeidae
Description: partial 16S ribosomal RNA
Rfam family: Bacterial large subunit ribosomal RNA
Source: RNAcentral